This 220-nucleotide long non-coding RNA is filed under the name Brassica napus (rape). Its description in RNAcentral is "long non-coding RNA (BNAP_LNC013949)". Lineage: Eukaryota; Viridiplantae; Streptophyta; Magnoliopsida; Brassicales; Brassicaceae. The record is from RNAcentral.
CUAGAUCAUGGCAGGAGGCCAAGUCUAACUUAGUAACGGUUUGGUUAGCCUUAGCUUUUAUUGCAUGCUUGGGCUAGAUUGAUUGUUAUUUUGGGUUGUCUGGGUUAGAAUCUAGGUUGCGGGUAGAGGCCGCCAGCUCACUGAGUAAUACUAGAUUACUCAUCCAACUCCGUUGUCCUUUCUGCAGGUCGCUUUAGGUAAGGAUGAUCGGAUAGCUUGG